RNAcentral lists this ribosomal RNA (973 nucleotides) under human gut metagenome. RNAcentral's name for it is "bacterial LSU rRNA". It matches the Rfam family "Bacterial large subunit ribosomal RNA", at positions 1617 to 2572 of the family's 2925-position model. The record is from RNAcentral.
GCCUUGGCGUGAGGGCCAUGGCCGCCCGUACCCCAAACCGACACUGGUGGUCAGGUAGAGAAUACCAAGGCGAUCGAGCGAAUCCUGGUCAAGGAACUCGGCAAAUCACUCCCGUGCCUUCGGUAUAAGGGAGACCCACUGGGGUGAAGGACCUUGCGUCCGGAGCUUUGGUGGGUGGCACAGACCAGGGGGUAGCGACUGUUUACCAAAAACACAGGUGCAUGCGAAGGCGAAAGCCGCUGUAUAUGCACUGACGCCUGCCCGGUGCCGGAAGGUUAAGAGGAUCCGUCAGCCUUCGGGUGAAGCGGUGAAUUCAAGCCCCGGUAAACGGCGGUGGUAACUAUAACCAUCCUAAGGUAGCGAAAUUCCUUGUCGGGUAAGUUCCGACCUGCACGAAUGGCGUAACGACUUCCCCACUGUCUCGACCAGGAGCUCGGCGAAAUUGCAGUACGAGUAAAGAUGCUCGUUAAGCGCAGAAGGACGAAAAGACCCCGGGACCUUUACUAUACCUUGGUAUUGGCAUUCGGUGUGGAUUGUGUAGCAUAGGCGGGAGGCUUCGAAGCGUGGGCGCCAGCUCAUGUGGAGCCGCAAGGUGAAAUACCGCUCUGUUCUCGUUUGACGUCUAACCUCGACAAGUCAUCCUUGUCAGGGACAGUGCCUGGCGGGUAGUUCAACUGGGGCGGUUGCCUCCCAAAGAGUAACGGAGGCGCUCAAAGGUCCGCUCAGCCCGGUUGGCAAUCGGGUGGCGAGUGCAAGUGCACAAGCGGGCUUGACUGCGAGGACGACGGUCCGAGCAGGGACGAAAGUCGGAGAUAGUGAUCCGGUGCCGGCGCACGGGCGCGGCAUCGCUCAACGGAUAAAAGGUACCCCGGGGAUAACAGGCUGAUCAUUCCCAAGAGUCCAUAUCGACGGGAUGGUUUGGCACCUCGAUGUCGGCUCGUCGCAUCCUGGGGCUGGAGCAGGUCCCAAGGGU